RNAcentral lists this ribosomal RNA (253 nucleotides) under uncultured bacterium. RNAcentral's name for it is "partial 16S ribosomal RNA". It matches the Rfam family "Bacterial small subunit ribosomal RNA", at positions 524 to 776 of the family's 1533-position model. The record is from RNAcentral.
GACAGAGGGUGCAAACGUUGUUCGGAAUUACUGGGCGUAAAGCGUGUGUAGGCUGCCAUGUAAGUCGGAUGUGAAAGCCCCGGGCUCAACCCGGGAAGUGCACUCGAUACUGCGUGGCUUGAGUACUGGAGAGGUUGGUAGAAUUCUCGGUGUAGAGGUGAAAUUCGUAGAUAUCGAGAGGAAUACCGGUGGCGAAGGCGGCCAACUGGACAGAUACUGACGCUGAGACACGAAAGCGUGGGGAUCAAACAGG